Arachis duranensis is the source of this 3514-nucleotide long non-coding RNA. RefSeq lists it as uncharacterized. NCBI's taxonomy places the organism in Eukaryota, Viridiplantae, Streptophyta, Magnoliopsida, Fabales, Fabaceae. The record is from RefSeq and is a predicted model, not a curated record. The transcript is spliced from 5 exons.
AUACUAACAAAAAUCACUCUCAUUAAAAGAGUAUGAUUCUCACGCUCGGUUCUUCUUUUCUUCUCACACUCGCUUCUCCUCCUCUUCGUCUUUCUUCUUUUUCUUCUUUCAAAUUUGCACAAGUUCUUCUUCUUCCAUCCUCCUCCUCCUCCUCCUUCUAAAUUUGCACACGCAGGUUUUUCUUCUUUUCUUCUCCUCCUCUUUAAUUUCUUUUUUUCCUCCUCCUUCUUCUUCUUUAUCAUCAUCACUAAUAACACUAACAUUUUUCAAACGACUUUAUUAGUUCUAAUUUUUUCUACUAUCUUCAUUAAAUAAUUUUAGUUCAUUUUUUAAUUUAUUUCGGUUCAUUUGUGUGUUAAUUGUCGGUUCAUUUGUGUGUUAAUUUCGAUUCACUUGAUACUACUGAUAAGCAUUAACCAAUUUUUUUAUUCACAAGUGAACCAAAACUAACACACAAACAAACUGAAAUUAAUUCACAAAUGAACCAAAAUAAACUAAAAAAUAAACUGAAAUUAUUUAAUGAUGGCACCAGAGAAAAUCAGAACCAAUAAAGAUGUUAAUAAAAUAUUGGUGUUGUUCGUGAUGACGAUAACGAAAGAGGUGAAGAAGAAGAAGAAUCUGCGUGCGGGAAAAAAGAAAAAUAAAAUUGAAUCAUGAACAAAAACACAUCCAAAUCCAUCAAGUAAUUUUGCAGCAUUAUGUGUUUCUUCUUCUUUAUUUGAUUAGAUGAAAAAGGUAAGAAAAGAAGAACAUGAUGAGAAAUUUGAGGCAUUUUUUUUCUUAUAUUUUCUAUUUUGUUUGAUUUUUCUUUUUUUUGUUUUAUUCCUCUUAAGAUAGUGAAACAAAAAAAAUUACACUACAAGAAAAAAGGCCUAUGGCCACGCUUUUUUGCUACACUUUAAAAGCGUGGCCAAAAGUGGUCUAUGGCCACGCUUAUAUGAGUGUGGCGUUUGAAUAGAGAUUUGGUCAUGCUUUUUUUUGCUACGCUUUAAAAGCGUGGCGAAAAUGGUCAAUGGCCACGCUUUUAUGAGGGUGGCAGUUGAUGCAAGAUUUAGCCACGUUUUUUUCUGCCACGCUUAUAAGCGUAGCCAUAGAGAGAUUUCGGCACGCUUUUAAAGCGUGGCAACAGAAAUUUAUUAUUGUGGCGUUUCAGAAGCGUAGCCGUUUCCUACAAGCCUUUUGGCACGCUUCAAAAGCGUGGCCAAAAGGUUCCCUCAGAAAAAAAACUAAAGAAGCUGGAAUUAAACAAAAAUGCUCCAGAGUUCAAUUCUUCAUGAUUCAAAGACUUAGAGAAAAAAAGCCCUAGCUAACUCCUUCUUUGUGCCCUGCCCUAACUUCUCCUUCGAAAGCCCCAAUGGCAACCACCAAUCUCCGUUGUGCCUCAUCGCUGCCCCCUUGGAAAGCCCUAGCUAACCCUUCUUCAUUGUGCUCGCCUUAACCCUUCUUCAAAAGCCCUAACCCCUGCCCUCACCGUGACGACAACACUCCAACGAAGUACCACUCGGACGACAAUCCGUGAAGAACGACGAAGCCCUCCCUUCCGCACUGCCGCUCGCUUCCUGCUUCUUCACUUCCGUGGAGAACGACGAAACCCUCCCUUCCACGCUGUUGCUCGCUUCCUGCUUCUUCGCUUCUGUGAAGAACGACGAAGCCCUCCCUUCCGCGCUGCCGCUCGCUUCCUACUUCUUCGCUUCCAUGAAGAACGACGAAGCCCUCCUUUCCGUGUUGCCGCUCGCUUUCUGGCAGCCACCUCGUCUUCCUCCACUCUUCCCUCCACUCUGCCACUCUCUGUCUGCAUCAUCAAGAAUGGAGCCUCUGACUUAGCUUUACGCGUAUCAAUAUAAUAUGGGGCUUCUCUUGAUUGAGAAAAAAGAGUGGAGCUCUAAGUAUAAUGAGCUGAAUCAAGAUUUGGCAGAAGUGAAGGAUGCUCUUGAAAGAGAAAAAUCUGCUCAUUUAAUUGCCAUCUCUGAGGCAGAGAAGCGGGAAGAGCAUCUGAGGAAGGCCUUGGGUGUUGAGAAAGAAUGUGUGCUUGAUAGUCAAAGUUGGCGGAAGCAAAUGCAUUGGUUGCUAGCAUUGAAGAGAAAUCUUUAGAAGUGGAAGGAAAGUUGCGCUCUGCUGAUGCCAAACUUGCAGAAAUAAGUAGAAAGAGUUAAGAGAUUGACAGAAAAUCACACGAUCUUGAGUCUCAAGAAGCUUUGCUUCGAAGGGAUCGCUUAUCUCUGAUUGCAGAGUACUCAUGAUAAAAUGUUCUUGCUCAAACAUUUUUAUGGCCUGGUGUCUCAGAUUUGACAAGAUCAUUUAGACUUUAUAGGAAGUCUAUGCUUGAAGACAUCAUUAGUUGCUGCAUUAGUAAGGGAUAUGUCUUUCAAAUGGAGAUGAUAGUCAGAGCAUCCAGAAAAGGAUAUCAUAUUAAAGAGGUAUCAAUUAGAAGUAUUUGAAGUUGCAAAGAAGAGGAAUACAAUAGCAGUGUUGGAUACAAGUGCUGGUAAGACCUUAAUAGCUGUGUUGGUUAUGAAGAACAUUGGUCAAGCUAUCAGGUCUAGUAUGUGCUUUGUUUUGAAGCAAUUAGUGAACUAUUGGUGCUAGUUCCAACGGUAGUUGUGCCUUUUAUUUGGUCACCUUGUGAAAUUUUUCUUAACCUACAAAAUUAGAUAGGUCUUGGUCUUCAGUAGCUAUCCAUGAGAUUUAGAACGAUGUUGAACACAUAAACAACUCAUAAAAGAAAAUUUUCUAAUAGUAUUGAAUUUUCUAGACCUUGGAAUUCUUCUCAGCAUUAGCUUUAUUAUUUUCUAUUAAUCUUACUCUUUUUUUGUGAGUUAUAUUAUUUGCUUACCACUAGGCAUAAACAUUGCCGGCAAUUCAAUACAGCAAAGUAAAGCAUUUAAUGAUUAGUUAAACCUAUGAUGCUACAAAAUUUCACAUUUAAUCUACAUAUGAAACUUCUCUCAUGAUGGCAACUUGAGAUUCAGGUUAGGUUCUGCAGUCAUUGUCUCAUUUUUCAUUAAUUUGUGAGUUAUCAAUAUAUCUAGAUGCGGUUCAUGAUUUCUUGUAUAGUAAAAAAAACUUGAUUAGAGUUUUGAAUAGAAUAGUAACUCUUAAAUAACAAGAGAAUAAUGUAAUUUUACAUUGUAUGUGAGUUUGAAUGGUUCUGGAGCUGUGGCUUCAUCAGUUCCCAGUUCAUCAGCUUUUUUCGGAAGCAUCUUGAAGAAGGUUAUAUCAAGAAUCCCCAGCAGUAGCAAGGUUUCCUCCGGAAGCUUCAAGAUUGUGGAGAUCGAUGAGGACAAGCAAACAGAUAAGGACAGAUGGAAAGGAUUGGCCUAUGAUAUCUCAGAUGACCAGCAAUUCAUCACAAGAGGAAAGGGUAUUUUGUAGCUUUUAAUGUGUAUUUUGUAGUUUUUAAAGGUAGAAGAUAAUGUAAUAGUUGUUGGAAUUAUAAUGCAUGUAUUACAAAUUUAUGGGUAGUUGUUAUCAUUUCGAUUUUUUGUUAGAGCUUGUCAUGUGAUCAACCACUAUA